GGCGCUAUAGCCAAGUGGUUACGGCGACAGAUUUGAAUCGAGAUGGAUUGUUUAACUUCGAAGAAACCUUUCAUCUUUGUGAUACAAUAUCUGUUCCUCUUUGAGGGCGCAGGUUCAAAUCCUGCUGGCGUCG
Psilocybe cubensis is the source of this 133-nucleotide non-coding RNA. The record is from the annotation of a RefSeq genome assembly. NCBI's taxonomy places the organism in Eukaryota, Fungi, Basidiomycota, Agaricomycetes, Agaricales, Agrocybaceae.